RNAcentral lists this transfer RNA (71 nucleotides) under Marmota monax (woodchuck). RNAcentral's name for it is "tRNA.Thr". The record is from RNAcentral. Lineage: Eukaryota; Metazoa; Chordata; Mammalia; Rodentia; Sciuridae.
GGGGUUGUAGAUCAGCGGUAGAGCACUCACUUAGUACUUGGGAGACGCUGGGUUCGAUCCCCAGCACCACA